This 133-nucleotide ribosomal RNA is filed under the name uncultured Lactobacillus sp. Its description in RNAcentral is "partial 16S ribosomal RNA". It matches the Rfam family "Bacterial small subunit ribosomal RNA", at positions 382 to 507 of the family's 1533-position model. Lineage: Bacteria; Bacillati; Bacillota; Bacilli; Lactobacillales; Lactobacillaceae. The record is from RNAcentral.
UCUGAUGGCAGCACGCCGCGUGAGUGAAGAAGGCUUUCGGGUCGUAAAACUCUGUUGUCGGGGAGGAAAGGUCUGAAGAUUAUCUGUUUGCUCCUUGACGUUACCCACCCAAAAAGCACCGGCUAACUCCGUG